GUAGGUGGCAAGCGUUGUCCGGAAUUAUUGGGCGUAAAGCGCGCGCAGGCGGUUCUUUAAGUCUGAUGUGAAAGCCCACGGCUCAACCGUGGAGGGUCAUUGGAAACUGGAGAACUUGAGUACAGAAGAGGAAAGCGGAAUUCCACGUGUGGCGGUGAAAUGCGUAGAGAUGUGGAGGAACACCAGUGGCGAAGGCGGCUUUCUGGUCUGUAACUGACGCUGAGGCGCGAAAGCGUGGGGAGCAAACAGGGAUUAGAUACCCUGGUAGUCCACGCCGUAAACGAUGAGUGCUAAGUGUUAGGGGGGUUUCCGCCCCCCUUAGUGCUGCAGCUAACGCAUUAAGCACUCCGCCUGGGGAGUACGGCCGCAAGGCUG
RNAcentral lists this ribosomal RNA (375 nucleotides) under uncultured organism. RNAcentral describes it as "partial 16S ribosomal RNA". It matches the Rfam family "Bacterial small subunit ribosomal RNA", at positions 527 to 896 of the family's 1533-position model. The record is from RNAcentral.